AUUGAACGCUGGCGGCAGGCCUAACACAUGCAAGUCGAGCGGAUGAAGGGAGCUUGCUCCUGGAUUCAGCGGCGGACGGGUGAGUAAUGCCUAGGAACCUGCCUGGUAGUGGGGGAUAACGUCCGGAAACGGGCGCUAAUACCGCAUACGUCCUGAGGGAGAAAUUGGGGGAUCUUCGGACCUCACGCUAUCAGAUGAGCCUAGGUCGGAUUAGCUAGUUGUUGGGGUAAAGGCCUACCAAGGCGACGAUCCGUAACUGGUCUGAGAGGAUGAUCAGUCACACUGGACCUGAGACACGGUCCAGACUCCUACGGGAGGCAGCAGUGGGGAAUAUUGGACAAUGGGCGAAAGCCUGAUCCAGCCAUGCCGAGUGUGUGAAGAAGGUCUUCGGAUUGUAAAGCACUUUAAGUUGGGAGGAAGGGCAGUAAGUUAAUCCCUUGCUGUUUUGACGUUACCAACAGAAUAAGCACCGGCUAACUUCGUG
RNAcentral lists this ribosomal RNA (484 nucleotides) under uncultured bacterium. Its description in RNAcentral is "partial 16S ribosomal RNA". It matches the Rfam family "Bacterial small subunit ribosomal RNA", at positions 30 to 507 of the family's 1533-position model. The record is from RNAcentral.